CAGCGGCGCGGGCGCGGGCGGACGCCGGGAGACCCUGCCCAGCAGCCGCCGCCGCCGCCGCGGCCGCUUCGUAGUCAGGCUGCCGCCAACGAACCUGUUGCGCAGCCUGUCACGGCCGCUCGGGCUCCGCGGCGCCGCCUCAGCCCCACAACAACAUGGCGGCCGCGGCCUCCGCAGGAAGCCGGGGGGCGGGGUGGGAGGCGACGGUCCGGGCGGCUGACUGCCCGCCCGCUGCCGGGCACCGACUCCCCCACCCUCGGGAACCCGAAAUUGGCCCGGGCGUGGCUUCUCACCCCCAGAGCCCCAGGGCAGCGGACCCCGCGGGCCUGGUCCUAGUGUUCCGCUCUCCCCUCGGGGAAGCCCCGAAGCCCGGACGCGGCAGCCCUUCCUGGAGGGGCGCCUACCCACCUGGCUCCUCCUCCGCGAGGUGACAUGUUGAGGCUGGGUGGUGCUUUUCCCGCCACCGCAGACCCCACAGUUUUGGAAAAGGGCCAAACGGUGUAUGGUGCGUGCCUGCUGCACCUCCCGUGGCGCUCUCCCUGGAGCCUUCUAACUCACUACAGUAUCUUCGCCGACCUGGGAGCUCGAGUCCCCUGGAAUGGGGGGUGGGGCGGGAGGAGGUUGUUCCCACCCUUGCUCAUGGGUGUGUUACAGGCCUUUCCCUCAGGUAGCGCAGAAGGACUCACUGUACCCAACGGUCGUCCAUGCAGCGUUCCUCACCCUCCUCCAUCACAAACAAAAAAGGGCAAGAGAGGGGCCUUCCAACCCUCAUCCACGCUCAGAGCAACUGCCCCGUAUACUCUGGCCGAGCAGUAAGAAAUUAGUCACCUCUCCGUGAACUCCACCACCUGAGGGUCUGCGGAUGCUGGACGUUCUUCCCCGCCUGAUAGCUGCCUGACAGUAGAAGCUAAAUGUCGAGAUGGUGUAACCAAAAGAUGGGAAUAGCCUGGAUGUCAGGUGUGCUUAGAAGGGAGAUGUCCAGAGGAGCCACGGUACCUGCAGCUAACUUCAUGAAGAAGUAACUAUCAUAGGUCUUCCAGUGAUAGCCUGUCCACACACUUUUUUCUUUUUUUUCUUUGGCUCACGGGCCCAGCCGCUCCGCGGCACGUGGAAUCUUCCCGAACCGGGGCACGAACCCGGCUCCCCUGCAUCGGCAGGCGGACUCUCAACCACUGCGCCACCAGGGAAGCCCCACACACACAUUUUUACUUCUCCAUUUUGUGUAAGCAGUGGUGCUUCUGAUUACAAUCCUCCAAGGGAUUCCUAUUACACUUAGAACAAAAUUUAAAUUUCUUAUAGUGGCCUACUAUAAGGACGAACAUGAUUGGUUCUUGCCAACUCUCCAGUCUCAGCUCUGUAUGUUCCUUUCAAUAUGUAGAUUCAGAUAUUCUUUUACUUCUAGACAUUUUUCUCAGAUUAUAAUUUUAAAUAUUAAAAAAAAAUUUUUAUGCUUUGUGGACUC
Long non-coding RNA from Lagenorhynchus albirostris (white-beaked dolphin), 1462 nucleotides. RefSeq lists it as uncharacterized. The record is from RefSeq and is a predicted model, not a curated record. NCBI's taxonomy places the organism in Eukaryota, Metazoa, Chordata, Mammalia, Artiodactyla, Delphinidae. The transcript has 4 exons.